RNAcentral lists this ribosomal RNA (433 nucleotides) under uncultured bacterium. RNAcentral's name for it is "partial 16S ribosomal RNA". It matches the Rfam family "Bacterial small subunit ribosomal RNA", at positions 29 to 506 of the family's 1533-position model. The record is from RNAcentral.
AGCGAACGCUGGCGGCAGGCCUAACACAUGCAAGUCGAACGAACCUUUCGGGGUUAGUGGCGGACGGGUGAGUAACACGUGGGAACGUGCCUUUAGGUUCGGAAUAACUCAGGGAAACUUGUGCUAAUACCGAAUGUGCCCUUCGGGGGAAAGAUUUAUCGCCUUUAGAGCGGCCCGCGUCUGAUUAGCUAGUUGGUUGAGGUAAUGGCUCACCAAGGCGACGAUCAGUAGCUGGUCUGAGAGGAUGAUCAGCCACAUUGGGACUGAGACACGGCCCAAACUCCUACGGGAGGCAGCAGUGGGGAAUCUUGCGCAAUGGGCGAAAGCCUGACGCAGCCAGGCCGCGUGAAUGAUGAAGGUCUUAGGAUUGUAAAAUUCUUUCACCGGGGACGAUAAGGACGGUACCCGGAGAAGAAGCCCCGGCGAACUUCGU